GAUGAACGCUGGCGGCGUGCCUAAUACAUGCAAGUCGAGCGAACAGAUGAGGAGCUUGCUCCUCUGACGUUAGCGGCGGACGGGUGAGUAACACGUGGAUAACCUACCUAUAAGACUGGGAUAACUUCGGGAAACCGGAGCUAAUACCGGAUAAUAUAUUGAACCGCAUGGUUCAAUAGUGAAAGACGGUUUUGCUGUCACUUAUAGAUGGAUCCGCGCCGCAUUAGCUAGUUGGUAAGGUAACGGCUUACCAAGGCGACGAUGCGUAGCCGACCUGAGAGGGUGAUCGGCCACACUGGAACUGAGACACGGUCCAGACUCCUACGGGAGGCAGCAGUAGGGAAUCUUCCGCAAUGGGCGAAAGCCUGACGGAGCAACGCCGCGUGAGUGAUGAAGGUCUUCGGAUCGUAAAACUCUGUUAUUAGGGAAGAACAAAUGUGUAAGUAACUAUGCACGUAUUGACGGUACCUAAUCAGAAAGCCACGGCUAACUACGUG
RNAcentral lists this ribosomal RNA (497 nucleotides) under uncultured bacterium. RNAcentral describes it as "partial 16S ribosomal RNA". It matches the Rfam family "Bacterial small subunit ribosomal RNA", at positions 28 to 507 of the family's 1533-position model. The record is from RNAcentral.